Molecule: unclassified non-coding RNA, 193 nt
Filed under: uncultured Byssocorticium
Lineage: Eukaryota; Fungi; Basidiomycota; Agaricomycetes; Atheliales; Atheliaceae
Description: sequence contains ITS2
Source: RNAcentral
AGUUCUCAACUUCACCGAUUUGCUUCGAGUGAAGCUUGGACUUGGAGUGUGCUGGCCCCUGGGGGGUCGGCUCCUCUUUAAAUGCAGCAGCGGGAGGCAUCUUUGACUUUCCGGCAUCGGCGUGAUAAUCGUGUUGCGCCGUUGGGCCGAGGUCUCAGUCCGCUUACAAUGGUCUCAGGACGACGAUUGAAAC